Molecule: ribosomal RNA, 480 nt
Filed under: uncultured bacterium
Lineage: Bacteria
Description: bacterial SSU rRNA
Rfam family: Bacterial small subunit ribosomal RNA
Source: RNAcentral
GAUGAACGCUGGCGGCGUGCCUAGCACAUGCAAGUCGAGCGGAGAUAUUCGAACGUAUUCGUACGGGAGAGUAUUUUAGCGGCGGACGGGUGAGUAACACGUGAGUAACCUGCCUUUUGCAGGGGAAUAACAUUGGGAAACCAGUGCUAAUACCGCAUAACAUCGCCGGAUGGCAUCAUCUGGCGAUCAAAGGAGAAAUCCGGCAGAAGAUGGACUCGCGUCCGAUUAGCUAGUUGGCAGGGUAAAGGCCUACCAAGGCAACGAUCGGUAGCCGAACUGAGAGGUUGAUCGGCCACAUUGGGACUGAGACACGGCCCAGACUCCUACGGGAGGCAGCAGUGGGGAAUAUUGGGCAAGUGGGGGAAACCCUGACCCAGCAACGCCGCGUGAAGGACGAAGGCCUUCGGGUUGUAAACUUCUUUCAGCGGGGACGAAGCGAAAGUGACGGUACCCGCAGAAGAAGCACCGGCUAACUACGUG